RNAcentral lists this ribosomal RNA (626 nucleotides) under Aspergillus niger. RNAcentral describes it as "eukaryotic LSU rRNA". The stretch from base 241 to 394 matches the Rfam family "5.8S ribosomal RNA". Lineage: Eukaryota; Fungi; Ascomycota; Eurotiomycetes; Eurotiales; Aspergillaceae. The record is from RNAcentral.
UGAAGGUGAAGUCGUAACAAGGUUUCCGUAGGUGAACCUGCGGAAGGAUCAUUACCGAGUGCGGGUCCUUUGGGCCCAACCUCCCAUCCGUGUCUAUUGUACCCUGUUGCUUCGGCGGGCCCGCCGCUUGUCGGCCGCCGGGGGGGCGCCUCUGCCCCCCGGGCCCGUGCCCGCCGGAGACCCCAACACGAACACUGUCUGAAAGCGUGCAGUCUGAGUUGAUUGAAUGCAAUCAGUUAAAACUUUCAACAAUGGAUCUCUUGGUUCCGGCAUCGAUGAAGAACGCAGCGAAAUGCGAUAACUAAUGUGAAUUGCAGAAUUCAGUGAAUCAUCGAGUCUUUGAACGCACAUUGCGCCCCCUGGUAUUCCGGGGGGCAUGCCUGUCCGAGCGUCAUUGCUGCCCUCAAGCCCGGCUUGUGUGUUGGGUCGCCGUCCCCCUCUCCGGGGGGACGGGCCCGAAAGGCAGCGGCGGCACCGCGUCCGAUCCUCGAGCGUAUGGGGCUUUGUCACAUGCUCUGUAGGAUUGGCCGGCGCCUGCCGACGUUUUCCAACCAUUCUUUCCAGGUUGACCUCGGAUCAGGUAGGGAUAGCCGCUGAACUCAAGCAUAUCAAUAAGCGGAGGAAAU